AACGCGAAGAACCUUACCAAGGUUUGACAUGGCCGGAAAACUCGCAGAGAUGCGGGGUCCUUCGGGGCCGGUCACAGGUGGUGCAUGGCUGUCGUCAGCUCGUGUCGUGAGAUGUUGGGUUAAGUCCCGCAACGAGCGCAACCCUCGUCCCAUGUUGCCAGCAUUCAGUUGGGGACUCAUGGGAGACUGCCGGGGUCAACUCGGAGGAAGGUGGGGAUGACGUCAAGUCAUCAUGCCCCUUAUGUCUUGGGCUGCAAACAUGCUACAAUGGCCGGUACAAAGCGCUGCGACAUCGUGAGAUGAAGCGAAUCGCAUAAAGCCGGUCUCAGUUCGGAUCGGGGUCUGCAACCCGGCCCCGUGAAGCCGGAGUCGCUAGUAAUCGCGGAUCAGCAACGCCGCGGUGAAUACGUUCCCGGGCCUUGUA
RNAcentral lists this ribosomal RNA (424 nucleotides) under uncultured Actinomycetes bacterium. RNAcentral's name for it is "bacterial SSU rRNA". It matches the Rfam family "Bacterial small subunit ribosomal RNA", at positions 958 to 1385 of the family's 1533-position model. The record is from RNAcentral. Lineage: Bacteria; Bacillati; Actinomycetota; Actinomycetes.